AGCUGGUCUUUCCCUGACCUCCUUGGUCUCAUUCCAGUGCAAGAUCAAUUCCUUCUAGCAGAAGGGCCAGGCUCACAUCAUGGUCUGUCCCUUUCGAAAGCUGGAUACAAGCUCCAGCGUUGUGCCCGGUCACUUGUGGUGGAAUUGGAAAGCUGUAGUGACCGAAAGCUUUUCUGGAUGUUCUGGUGAUAUCUUUCCUAGAGGCUCCUGUCCUUAAAUCUCUGAAAAUAGUUGCUCUUUGUGCAGGUAUUGGGGGAAGUCAGGAGCCCAUCUGAGGGCUGGUCCUGUGCCAUGGGGCAGGCCAGGCUCACAUCUUGUGCCUGUCAGCAACGCCUGCUUUCCAGAGAGGUGGAGUGGAGGCGAUAAGCGCACUUGGCAGGGAUGUGUCACGGCUGCUUCCUCCAAGUGUGUUUCUUCUCUCCCAUCAUCAUCUGCAAAGUGCAAACAGCCUUCAGGGUGUUUCUGGAGAACUUUGUACAGAUGGAGAAACUCAAAGUUUAUGGAGCAAAUGCCAGUUUGGUGUCAGAGCAGGAUUAUAAACCUGUCCCCUGAUGAACAGGA
This is a long non-coding RNA of Haemorhous mexicanus (house finch), 561 nucleotides long. RefSeq lists it as uncharacterized. Lineage: Eukaryota; Metazoa; Chordata; Aves; Passeriformes; Fringillidae. The transcript has 2 exons. The record is from RefSeq and is a predicted model, not a curated record.